CUACCACCCGAUCAAGAACCAAAAUUAAAGCCGCUGAUCCCACCAAUUCCCGGCCCGUUUUGAAACUCAAACUCUCCACCAAGCACUUAAAACCCAUCACAGAACCGGACCCAAAACCUCCCAUAAUAGAUUCAUUUCGAAGCCAUCCCCAGAUCCCUCCACCAAACUUCUCCAAUUUACCUUUUCAAAUCCAUACUUCAACACACCACCAAAAUUACCAUAAUGCCUCUGAUACUCUUUUACCCGGCAGCCAUUGCUUGUCGAAAUUCGCAUCUUUUUCCAAUAAAGGCCAGAAUAAAAAUCUCAUUUUUGAGCCCAGUGAAAAGGAUUUUCCAACUGAAACUAAAAGUGAAAUUCAUGUGCAAAAUGCUGACCUGGUAAAAGUGAAAAAUGAAGCUGCUAGCCAACGAAUUUCUUCCAAAAAGGUGAGUAAACAUCUUAAUUUGAUUGGUGUUAAUGUUUCUUCCACAAAGAAUGUGAACAAGCCUAAACGUGUUAGUGAGGGUAAUUUUGUGAAGCUUAAUAUAAAUGGCUAUGGGAGGAAAAAGUUUGCCUUUAAGAAUAAAAGAAAGAGCUUUAGUGCAUAUAGUGGGCGUAGAAAAUUUUCAAGAUAUUAUAAAAAGAAAUCGAGAGUUGGAAAUGAAGGAAAGGAAAGUGGUGAGAUUCUCGAUGAAGAGGGCUUGGUUUUGGAGAUUGGAGAGAGAGAGGAAAGUAUGGAUUUUGAUAGUGAAUCGAUUGAGGAGGCUGUGAUGAGUGUACGAAAAGAGGCCUCCGAUGGAAAUUUGGAGAAGUUAUUAAAGUUCACACAUGGGUAUGAUUCAUUUAGGAAUGGUCAGUUGGAGGCAAUCAAGAUGGUGCUCUCUGGGAAAUCGACAAUGCUGGUUUUACCAACGGGUUCUGGCAAGUCUCUGUGUUAUCAGUUGCCUGCGUUGAUUUUGCCAGGAGUCACCCUUGUGGUGAGUCCUUUAGUGGCUUUGAUGAUCGAUCAACUUAAACAGCUGCCUCCUGCAAUUCCGGGUGGCCUUUUGUGUAGCAGCCAGGUAUUUUCUUUCUCAGUGUUGGUGAAUACGUAUGCAUUUUUGUCCCUCUGUGACUAUUUCUAUAAACUUGAUGUUUCUUGAUGGCUGUUUCAGAUGCCCGAGGAGGCUGCAAAAACCCUCAGGUCACUACAAGAAGGGGCAAUAAAGGUUAACUUAAGUCCUUGAUUGCAACAUAAACUUCAACCAAACGGUCUUUUUCUUGUUUAUGUAAAUGCAUCAAAAACAAUUGGUUCUGAUUAAGACCAUUUCACACCAUUAUGGAUCUUUCUGAAAUUUCAUUGAAAUCACUUUUGAUGGAUUAUUUGUUGAAAUGUGAUAAGCACUCACUCUAUCCUUUAGAUAUGUACCUAAACACUAAGAAAUUUUCUCGGUUCAUGUUUAGGUUCUUUUUGUUUCACCAGAGAGGUUUCUGAAUGCAGAAUUCCUAUCCAUAUUUUCUGGCAGUCAACUAGUAUCUCUUGUGGUUGUUGAUGAAGCCCACUGUGUUUCUGAAUGGUGAGCAUUUGUAGGAUUAUUUCCUUCCCAGUUUUAUCAGCUUGUGAAUUGGAUUUUAAGAGUCUCCUUCAUUAUGACAGCAAUAUGCCAGCCAAACUCAUUAUCACCAUAUGAAGUUUCAUAAUUUUCUGAAACCUAAAAUUUUUGACAGGUCACAUAAUUUUCGACCUUCGUAUAUGAGGCUUAGAGCCUCCUUGCUAUGUGGGAAGCUUAAUGCUGGAUGUAUUCUAGCUAUGACAGCAACUGCAACAACCAAAACUUUGCAUGACGUAAUGCAUGCUUUAGAGAUUACUCCCACAAAUCUCAUUCAGUCAGCCCAAUUAAGGGAUAAUCUGCAUUUAUCGGUGUCUGUGAGCGGGAAUAGGUGAGUGUACACACACACACACACCUUGUCAAUUUUCUUGUAUUAAAUUUUAAUACCUCAAUAUUCUGUUAAUAAUGUCAGGAUGAAAGAUUUGGUGGCAUUGCUCAAGUCUUCUCCCUUUUUGGAGAUCAAAAGCCUCAUUAUUUACUGUAAAUUUCAGGUAUACUACGGUUAAUUUUUCUAAAAAAGAUGAAUAUAUAAACUUGGACCAGAUCACUAUCUCUUUACUCUUGUGAUUUUGACUUAUGGUAACCUUGUGUCCACAAUUUGGUGCAGUAUGAAACUGACAUGAUAAGCAAAUAUCUAUGUGAUAACAACAUCUCAGCUAAGGUUUGUAUAGCAUUUGUAAUCUCAGUUUAUUUGAAUGAUGCAAACUUUAUGCUCUCUUCAUGCAGUUCUUUGUUUUCAUAUUGGAAAUAUUGAUGAAGUUCUGUAUGUUUCUCAGAGUUACCACAGUGCCAUUCCUGCUAAAGAUAGGAACCGCGUUCAGGAAUUGUUUUGUUCUAAUAGGAUAAGAGUGGUAAGGAAGUUAUUGGGAUCAUUUUUUAUAUAUUUCUAUAAUUUUAUAGGUGUGAUUAUCUCCUUGAUGCAUGGUGGAAAUUAAAAUCUUGCUGAUUUGCAUUCUUUUGUUCUCAAAGGUGGUUGCAACUGUGGCAUUUGGCAUGGGACUUGACAAAAGUGAUGUUGGAGCUGUAAGAAAAAUUUUCGUUCACGUUUCAUAUUAUUUAUCUAAUUUUCAUUAAACAUCCACAAUUAAUUGGUCUUAAAAUAUCUCAGAGGAUAACAAUAACAUUUAAUUUGCAUUUUGCACCUAAGAAAUCACCCGGAAGGAAUCUAUCCACGAAUCUUCUAAGCCAUCUGAGUUUAUGUAUUUGUCUUCCUUGUGGCAUUUAUGGACUGCUAAAGCUCUAAAAUGCUGCUGUUUCAGGUAAUCCACUACAGUUUACCCGAAAGUUUGGAAGAGUAUGUACAGGUCAAAUUUCUUUAUUAUAAUUUUCUCCCAAUUAUUAGCACAGGUGUGUCCUUCCCCUCCCCAACCACAAAAAAAUAAAACAUAAAUAAAACAUAAAAUAAAAUUGUAGACCUAAAAAUAUUAAAUAAUUUAUGCAGGAGAUAGGUCGUGCUGGACGUGAUGGUAGAUUUUCUUAUUGCCAUCUGCUUUUUGAUGAUGUCACAUACUUCAAGCUUCGAAGUUUGAUGUACAGGUAAAGCAAAUGCCAUUUCUAUGUAGCCUCCCAUUUGUGGGAUUGGAGAUACAGAUUUUGGUGAUAACAUUAUUUUUUCAGUGAUGGCGUAGAUGCACAUGCAGUAAAUUUGUUACUUUCUCAUGUUUUUAUGAGCAAAGGAAGUGCAGCCAAUGAUACUUGUUCGUUAGUCAAAGAAACUGCUUCUCGUAAAUUUGAUAUGAAAGAAGAGGUCGGUCAAGUUGCUGCUUUUGAAUAAAGUUUGCUUACAAGCCCUCAUCUUCCUGUCAAAAAAAUUCAACUUUGAUUAUCAACCUAAGUAGUUUGUUAUUCAGUUUGUAUAUUAUUCAAUCAUAAAUGAAUUUAUUAUAUCGAGAUAUUUUUGCCUCAUGAUGUUGAACUACUGAUUUUUCUUGCCUUGUAGGUGAUGCUAACUAUUUUGACACAGUUGGAGUUGGGAGAAGUGCAAUACCUUCAAUUGCUUCCCCAGAUAAAUGUAACAUGUACUGUAAAUUUCCAUAAGGUGCGUUAUGCUUUCUAUGGGGGAUAAAUUUCUAUUCUCUGGAUGUUUAGUUUAUGCCGUCGUUCUUUGUUGAACUACUUGAUCUAAAGUUUAAAUUAUUAGAUCUUUAAAAUGCCUCUUCACGUGUAGACGGGGUUCAUUUUUUCCCGUCAAAGCCUAUCACGUGCAUAAUUCAUUUAAAUGAGUGACGGUGCAAUUUGAACCUAGGACAUUUGCAUGCUCUGAUACCAUGUUAAAUCACUUGAUCUAAAAACUUAAAUUAUUAGAUAGGGCCACAUGUAUAAUUAUUUAUCUUUCUGCAGACUCCGCCAGCACUUUUUGCUGCUAAAGAUAUUGUGGUUGCAUCAAUUCUGAACAAGUGAGAAAUAUUUUUUAUUCCAUACUACCAUGAACUAUGAAGUUAUUUGUUCUUAAAACUCUUAAUUGCUCUGCUAAUGCUUUACAAGCUUUUCAGGUCUGAAAUGAAAGAUGGGCAAUAUGUAUUUGACAUACCAUCUGUGGCAAAUAGCAUCAGAAUGCAGGCUGUUGACCUUACAAAUCACUUGCAGAGUCUAAAGGUGAGUAUGUUUUGACUUGUCCAAGCUUUUCAAAUUCCAAUUUGGAAUGAGAUUUUAAGAGAUUUCAGUUCUUUCAAACUCAUUUCUACAAGCCACUUGUUGAACUAUCUAUUCAUAUAGAGCUCUAUGGAGUUAUUGCUCUUCCCUUUAAUCCACUUGAAGUCUAAGGUCAAGUUUUUAUCCUCGUUCAAGCUUUGAUUGAAGAGGUCGAACUUGUAUGUUAGGAGGUUUGACAGAUCACGUUUAGCUAAGCUUAAAAUGUUUGCUUAUAAGCAAAAUAAGUAAGUCUUCAAAUAUUUAAUUUCUUAUUGGAUAAAGUUAGAUAAGUUACUUUUGACAGUAAGAUUAAGGUACUUUUAUGAUAAGUGACUUUUUUACCCAAAUGUAAGAUAAUAAAUUAUCGAAGCAAAAAGUUACUUGUGUUUUUUGUUGUAUUAAGGACCAUAAGAUUAUCUCUUCCAAAUUUUACUGUCUUUAGAACAUGAUUUAUACCUUACUCUGUCAAUUUCCAAAAAUUCAAGCUUCUAAUCAUUUUUCUCUGACAAUGGCGGAAUAUGAUUUAAAAUUGAAAUGCUGCUUCAAUAUUUUACACUUUAUAGUUGAAGUACUAUGAAAAUUAUGGUAACAUAAUAUUUGGCAUGGUCCUAAUCACUUAAUUGUAUUAUACUCGUUGAAAUAAUUGGGAAAAGAACCUUGUUGUAUUCUCCGAUUGAUUAGAAUUUACUAACUCACAGAAUUUUCUGUAUUGCUUGUAUUAGUUGAAGGGGGAAAUCACAUAUGAUUUGAAGGAUCCAGCCUAUUGUUAUACCAUUAUUAAUGUCCCGGAAGAUAUUUGUUCUUUGGCAGCAAGCCUUACAAAGUGGUUAUCUGAGGUCGAGACCUGUAAGGUGAUUGGCUUUCCUUUAUGUCAUUUAUUAUUUUUGUAGUUUAUUCUCUAUUUGUGUGGGGAAGAGGGGGACAUUCAUAGUGCAAGUUUGGCAAAGCUUAUAUUAUAAUUUAAACUUGUCAAACAUACUUUUUAUCCAACUUAUUAUCCAGCAUUCAAUGGGGCCCGCUGUUUAAAACAAGCACGUGAUAACAUGCAUACUGACUUUGAUUGACGUAGGUGCGGAAGAUAGAUGCAAUGUUUAAUGCUGCUGUUUUUGCUGCAAAAGAGUGUGAUAAAGUGCAGAGCUGCCAAGAAAAUCAACAUACUUCUUGCUUGCAAAGGAAGAUUCAACAGUACUUUAAUGGGGAUGAUGACGUUGAUGUUCCUAACCAGAUGGGUCAAAACAGGUUGAAAUGUUUGAUCUAUAAAUACACAAUUCACAGUGAACUUAUUGUUGGAGCUCGUUUGCUUGGGCUUCAAAACAAAUAAGAACUACUCAAGUUUCCAAACAAGUGUAUCCAAAGUUACUUAUUUUGACAGUAACUCCUGAUUAAAAUAAGUAGCUUGCCAUUUUUUUUUCUUUACAGUUUUUCUAGAACUUACAAGUGAACUGUAUAAGCUUAGCCAAACAUGCUCCAACAAGGCAACUACAGCAAAAAGCUAAGCUUUCAUUGCAUAAUAUAUAGCUGGGAUCUAUUGCUGAGCUCUGUUGUUUCAUUGAGCAUCAAUCAUGAAGAACCCAAAAAUAACUUAUAGUCUAGCAGAUAUUGAUAUGAAAAUAUCUAUGUAUAUAUGUUGCAAUAAAUAUUAUGAUCUUUCUAGAUAUUAUUUGAUUGUCCUAACUAAAACAUCAUUUUGUUUGCAGUCCAUUUUUGCGGGCUGAUAUAAAGGUACAAAUUUUCAAACGUUACAACUUGUUUCUUGCUAAAAAGAAAUUAACCAAAAUUGUAAAAUUUCCAUCCUCUUUUGAUGCCUUAGGUCUUUCUUCAGAGUAAUUCACAAGUGAAAUUUACCCCCCGAGCAAUUGCAAGGAUACUGCAUGGACUUGCUAGCCCGGCCUUUCCUGCUGCUAUUUGGUCAAGAACCCAUUUUUGGUAAUGUGGCAACAAAAUUAAUAUAUGGUUUGAUCAAUGGUUCUUAAUUUUAUCAUUUUAAGUAUAACCUAGAUUUGCAUUUAACUUGAAAAACGUGAUGCAGUGAUAUUAUCUUUGCAUGAAAUAGAGGGUUUAAAUGAUUCUUUAAAAUCGAGAAAUGUUGUAAAAUAUGAGACAUUUUUCAAGAAUCCACUCGUAUGGUUGACUGCUCUGUAUAUGGUAUCUCUCUCAGAGGUCGACACUGAUGCAUGUAUUGUAGGGAUCAUUGGAUCAUAGAUUAAAAAAUAAGCUGAAAUUGUGUGGAUUAUACUGUCUUUUCAUUUAUAUGAUCUCAAAUUUCCUGGCUGGAUUUUAGGGGAAGGUAUCAACAGAUAGACUUUAAAGUAGUGAUGGAAGCGGCAAAGGGAGAGCUCAUUAGUAUGGUCGGCAAGGAUGUAAUUUAGCUAUUUCUUUCUCGAGAGAAUGUCAUUUAUAACAACAAAUAGGGAGAACACAAUAUUGCGCGGUUACAGUUGGCUAAUCUUAGUAAGUCUUCCUACUUCGUCAUCUGUUUUUGUUUGGAAAUUUAAUGCAAAUGUUCGUUCCUUUCUCUUCCCUUUUCUUUCCAGUGCACGCAAUGCUGCCUGUGGGACUUCCGGUGCUAAAGUUUUGACAGGUAUAAUGCAAUAGUUGUAUUGAAUGUACAUAAUGAUUUAUAUGCACAUAAUGUAGUGAGAUAUGAUUCGAUUUUUUCAAUCAGAUAAUUUUUCCUCUAUUUUUGAAACCUCGUUUUUCUGUAAACAAUUAUGUAACUCUUAUGUACAACUAGCAUUAUCCAUAAUACAAUUGGGGAUGAGAUAGGCUACUUACAUGUCAAUACCUUGACAUGUGUAUGCUUAGAUUGUGCAAAUAUUCCUACUGUAUAAGUUUAUAAAAAGAUUUGUGUGUCAGAGAUGGUGGACAUUUGAAUCUUAUUUUAUAUCAUUGUCAAAACAUGCAGUGACAAAAGUAUGCGGAUCUCAUAUGUGAAUCAAUAUAAAUGUAUGUAUUUUUGGUUCUUAUACAUUCGAUUGAUUAUUGUAGUUAUAAGAAGAUGUUACGGCUUAACCUAUAAUAUCUACUUGCAGGUGAAAGUCGAAAGAUUGAUCAACUCACAGCGAAGAAAAGAAUAUCCAUAGAGAAGCUUGUCAUUGCUAAUAUUAUAAUAAACAUAUAUUUUCAUAUGUUGUAAAUCUCACGGUUAUGUAAAAUUAUUGAUGAUUUUUUCAUUAAGUGUUAUCUUUCUUUUGAACUUUUACCAUGAUAAGGAAUAAGUCUUAAUUUGUUAUUUGUGUAGAUCAUUGAAGACAAUGAAUUUUGCUUGAAC
RNAcentral lists this long non-coding RNA (7470 nucleotides) under Olea europaea subsp. europaea. The record is from RNAcentral. Lineage: Eukaryota; Viridiplantae; Streptophyta; Magnoliopsida; Lamiales; Oleaceae.